CCCGCUGAACUUAAGCAUAUCAAUAAGCGGAGGAAAAGAAACCAACAGGGAUUACCCUAGUAACGGCGAGUGAAGCGGUAACAGCUCAAAUUUGAAAUCUGACCUUCACGGGUCCGAGUUGUAAUUUGUAGAGGAUGUUUCGGAUAAGGCUUUGGUUUAAGUUUCUUGGAACAGAACGUCAUAGAGGGUGAGAGUCCCGUCUAGAGCCGAUAGCCGCGUCCAUGUGAAACUCCUUCGACGAGUCGAGUUGUUUGGGAAUGCAGCUCAAAAUGGGUGGUAAAUUUCAUUUAAAGCUAAAUAUUGGCCAGAGACCGAUAGCGCACAAGUAGAGUGAUCGAAAGAUGAAAAGUACUUUGAAAAGAGAGUUAAACAGUAUGUGAAAUUGUUGAAAGGGAAGCGCUUGCAACCAGACUUGUGUGUGGCGGCUCCCCCUGUCUUCUGACGGGGUUAUUCUGCUAUAACCAGGCCAGCAUCGAUUUAGGCGGCCAGUUAAAGGCUCUGGGAAGGUAUCUACCUUCGGGUCGACUUACAGCCCCGGGUGUAAUGUGGCCUGCUUGGAUCGAGGAACGCGCUCUUGCCCGGAUGUUGGCGUAAUGGUUGCAAGCGGCCCGUCUUGAAACACGG
This 624-nucleotide ribosomal RNA is filed under the name uncultured fungus. RNAcentral's name for it is "eukaryotic LSU rRNA". It matches the Rfam family "Eukaryotic large subunit ribosomal RNA", at positions 24 to 664 of the family's 3401-position model. Lineage: Eukaryota; Fungi. The record is from RNAcentral.